Mustela erminea (ermine) is the source of this 677-nucleotide long non-coding RNA. RefSeq lists it as uncharacterized. The record is from RefSeq and is a predicted model, not a curated record. The transcript is spliced from 3 exons. NCBI's taxonomy places the organism in Eukaryota, Metazoa, Chordata, Mammalia, Carnivora, Mustelidae.
GAUGGGAGCAAUGUCUGUCUCCACGGGGACGGACACGGAAAAAUGGCCAUUCACUGGAGCACAGAGAGAACGAGGAGACCUUAACCCUGCAGAGGCUCCUUGGGUUGGUGUUUAAAUUUCUGAAGUGCAUACAUGGAGGCAUUUUUUUUGCUCUGCUUAAUGUGCUCGACAUUUUUGGGGCCACUUUAUCUAUGCCGACAGAGAGGCUGGAAAUAUAAAACCUCAUUGAGGAGAUUAAAUACUCUUCAGAGACUGAAGAACAACAUUCCAGAAACCUAUUUAUGAUGGGUUUCAAAUAGUUAUAGGGAGGAGAACACUGGGACCCAGCAUUUUUGGUGUCUAUGUUGGGCAGAAGCCUGAUGACAGCUUGUGGAGUGAGAAGAAAACUGAGAACCAAAGCCAGUUUUGCUGAGUUCAUCUGAAGGGAAGGAGAAUGAUAGGGCAGUCUUUGGAGCCAUGUUGGGUGACAGGGAGUUUCUUUAAGAGGAAAGGAAUUUGAACAAGUUUAAAUGAAAUGUUGCUUCUAUAAAUGCUGAGUGGGAGGGUCGAAUGAAAAGGGAGAGGCUGAAUAUUGUGCUGUGAGAAGUGAUAAUCCCAAGAGCAGGCUGAGGAUGUGUCAGGAGGAUGCUAAGUGAGUGGACAGAGAGAUUCUCUUCAGGAGAAAUAACAUCACUUCA